GUAGAUUGUAUAUUGUGUCAUCUUGCCUCUAUUCAAUAUUCAAGACAUCAUUUUGAAAUAACCCUGCAUACAUUCCAGCAUCUUGCCCAAGACAACACACCUGUAUACCCAACAGAAGGAUGCAAUGUCACAAUAAUGAUCUGAAUGAAUUUCUCAACAUGACCGACGUCAGAGUGGCGUUCACUAUUUAAGACGGAGACUCCAGUCCAAGCUUCAUCAAACUCAUCCAGCUGUGGACUCGAUCAACUGCUGGGACAAUAAUCAAGUAAUAUUCUUACUCAUUAAGUUUUAAACUUCAAUGCUUUUGCUUCCAAUCUUGACCGAUUGAUUAAUCUUCUCAGUUUCUUUUUCCCCCUCAAGGUGAAAUCAUGAUGAAGAUACUGGUACUGCUUGGAUGUCUCCUGAGUCUGGCUCUGGCUCUUCCAGUGGACGAAGUGCAUGAGAGAAUUGCUCGUUCUUCCUCUGACUCCAAUUCCAGAGAGAUGGGGCGGUAUCCGUCAUUCUACCCACCGUAUCCCCGGUUCCCCCCACCACCACCACCAACACAGAACCAGGCCGACCUAUGGGCCUUGUUCCUGCAAUUCCUGCUGGCUAACUCCCCCCCGGCCCCGCCUCCAGUUCCGACCUAAAGACCCUAAAAUCAGUUUGUUAUCCUCUGUAUGACUUCUAUAAUAAAUCAUGCAUGACAAUAAGAAAUGUGUCGGUGGUAUUUGGUCGUAUGCUCCUGCCCUUCCUCCUGCUGGUUGCCUUGCCCAGCGCUGCACCAGCGACCGCAGCCACUACCGCUGAGACCUACUGCUGAAGUUGCCAUAUUUGGUACUUUGAUUUGCACCAAUAAUUCUUAAUACUUACAAAGUGUUUGUUCAUCUAAGGAGCAUGGCUAAUAAAUCUUUUGACAAAAAUAAGAAAUCCUUUUUUAAAAUCACCAAUUAAUCAGAAUUUCUUUCACAAUGCGUCAUCAAAACGUAGAAGAUAAACGAUGAAUACUGACUAUACA
This 997-nucleotide long non-coding RNA is filed under the name Gadus morhua (Atlantic cod). RNAcentral's name for it is "lncRNA (ENSGMOG00000025600.1)". The record is from RNAcentral. Lineage: Eukaryota; Metazoa; Chordata; Actinopteri; Gadiformes; Gadidae.